This 502-nucleotide ribosomal RNA is filed under the name uncultured bacterium. RNAcentral describes it as "bacterial SSU rRNA". It matches the Rfam family "Bacterial small subunit ribosomal RNA", at positions 8 to 507 of the family's 1533-position model. The record is from RNAcentral.
AGAGUUUGAUCAUGGCUCAGAUUAAACGCUGGCGGCAUGCCUUACACAUGCAAGUCGAACGGCAGCACGGGGGCAACCCUGGUGGCGAGUGGCGAACGGGUGAGUAAAGCAUCGGAACGUGCCUGGAGUGGGGGAUAACGUAGCGAAAGUUACGCUAAUACCGCAUAUUCUGUGAGCAGGAAAGCAGGGGAUCGCAAGACCUUGCGCUCUGGGAGCGGCCGAUGUCGGAUUAGCUAGUUGGUGGGGUAAAGGCCUACCAAGGCGACGAUCCGUAGCGGGUCUGAGAGGAUGAUCCGCCACACUGGGACUGAGACACGGCCCAGACUCCUACGGGAGGCAGCAGUGGGGAAUUUGGACAAUGGGCGAAAGCCUGAUCCAGCCAUGCCGCGUGAGUGAAGAAGGCCUUCGGGUUGUAAAGCUCUUUCGGUGGGGAAGAAAUUGCAUAGGCUAAUACCCUGUGUAGAUGACGGUACCUGGAGAAGAAGCACCGGCUAACUACGUG